Ictalurus punctatus (channel catfish) is the source of this 1574-nucleotide long non-coding RNA. The record is from Ensembl. Lineage: Eukaryota; Metazoa; Chordata; Actinopteri; Siluriformes; Ictaluridae.
GGAACUUUGCAGAGCAACUCUAGCUAAAAUAAUACUGUUCAACCGAAGACGUGGAGGAGAGGUUGCAAAGAUGCAAUUAAAAGGCUUCCUAGAAAGGGACACAGCUGCCCUACAUAUUGAAGUUGCUGUUGGAGUCACAAAGUUUGAACAAAAACUUUGUGCACAUUUCAGUCGGGAGGAAAUUAGUGGUAAAAGGGGGCGAAAGGUUGCAGUGUUGCUAUUGUCAGACAUGGUUGAUGCCUUAACAUGCCUCAUAAGCAGAAGAAAAGAGCAUGGAGUCCCAGAAGAAAACAUAUUCCUGAUUGCAAGACCCAACUGUUUGACUCCUUAACGAGGACAAGACUGUCUGAGGAUUUAUGCAAAUGAGUGUGGUGCGCAAAACCCUGAACUUCUCAAGUCAACAGAAUUACACAAACAUGUAGCAACUUUGUCACAGGUCCUAAACCUCAAAAACCACGAGUUGGACCAAGUUGCUGACUUUUUGGGCCACGAUAUUCGUGUCCUCAGAGAGUAUUACAGGCUUCCUGAGGCUACAACCCAGCUGGCCAAAAUAUCCAAACUACUACUUGCCAUGGAGAAAGGUUCACUUACAAAUCUUCAGGGCACAACAUUAGAAGAGACUGAAAUUGAAGGUAUUGCUAUUAAAGUUGUUAUAAAUUAUAUUUUAUAGUUUAGUGUAAAGGUUAUCAAGUAUUCCUAGCCUAAAGAUAAUCCCUUGCAUACAAACCUUAAAUUUUUAUUAUUCAAUAAUAUUUAAUAUUCAUCAAAUUUCAGCAUGAUUAUUGUUAAUUUUUUUUACUCUAACAUUUGCAAUGUUCAACUUUUCCGAUGGUCAAAAUGUUUAUAUUUUGUUAGAGAACAUAGACUUGACUGAUUCUGAGCAAAGUGAAGACACUGAUGAUGAGGAGACAUAUCCACAGACACCAACAGAAAUGGGAAUGAACAGAGCUAGGCGACCUGUUGAGGAACCUCUAGGCACCCCAGAUGGUAUGAGCAUCAACCUCAGUCUACCAGCAUGUCCAUUGAGGUUUGAUUCAUUUCAUGUAGACCAAGCACAACUACUGCUUGUUAUAGUAUUUUAUUUUUCCGUUCACAGAUGUUGACUCUUCCCUAGGAGGCUCAUCUCAAGGUAAACUGGUUGGCGCUUAUUGACGGGGCACAUGUGCGCGACUGCACCUGGCACAUAUUGAAGAGGGUGAUUGCCAACUCAUUGGCAAAGAACCUCCAUUGGAGGGGAGUCAAUGUAAAGACUUCACUGGUCACUCUCCAACUCGCAGAGGUCGUAAUUGGUAAGUAUAUCUGUUUACAUACAGAGUUAUCUGUCUCUCUCAGAUGAUAUGUAAGGAGUAAUCCACGGCUAGGUGUGCAUUAAACGAUUUUAAUGCAUGAUGUGGAGGCAAAGAACCACUCGUUCAAAUCGUUUAAUGCACACCUAGCCAUGGCUUAUCCUAGUUUUACCAUGGUCUUUCCGCAAUUAAAGUUAAAGCUGUCAUUUGAUUUUACAUUACACUCGACUCCAUAAUAUCAAGUUGUAAAUAAUGCAAUGAAAUUAAAAAUCUGACUUUAUGGUUGCU